UUGAUUUGUGUGAAAAGUGAAUCCGCUCUGGCUGGGCGUUCAGCAGAGGCGCAACAGCUGCAACGCCAUCCAAUUAUUGCCGAUCCUCCCCUCCAACACUGCUCUCAUCACCUAUAUACUCUUCUCUCUGCCCGUCUCUGCUUCCCCCCCCUUCCCCCCCCCCUUUUCUCCCGGCCGACGGAGCUGAAGGGGCGGGGGUUCCUUCCUUGGAGUGUUUCUAGAGCUCGGAGGCUGCUGGUAGGGGGGCACCACUUUCAGAUAAAAACAUAGACCUGAAUGGCAUCAUCCAGUAUCCAAGGAAACCAUGUUCUCUAAACAUGAAUAUGCCUUUGGGGGAAGACAGAAGAACAUGGAAGCCAUGUGAAAAAAACGGAUCCUAAGGCAGUUUUGAACAUCUGGAGGCCUGAUUUAUUGGAGAUUGCAAAUGUACAGUGUAACAUAGCUGUGGAGAGCGAGAAGAUCAGGAUUGUCAAUGCUGUCAUUGCUUUUACUGGAAUCCCCAGCACGAAUUGAAGGUUUGACCAGAGACAAAGAAGCAAAUGCUAUCAAUUAACAUUCACAUGUGGUAGGUCUCACUUUGCCACCUAGGCUGGAUGCAAUGCAACGGUAUGUUGAUCUUGGUUCACUGCAGCCUCAACCUCCUGAGCUCAUGUGAUCCUCCCACCUCAGUCCCCCACGUCGCUUGGAUUACAGGCCUGUGCCACCACACCUGGCUAACUUUUUUUGUAAUUUUUGUAGAGACAGGGUCUCACUAUGUUUCCCAUGCUGGUCUUUAAUGCCUGAGCUCAAGCCAUCCGCCUGCCUCGGCCUCCCAAAUUGCUGGGAUUACAGGCAUGAGCCACCAUGCCCAGCCUAAUUCUUCUAAAUCUUAUCCUAGUAAUUAAGCCAGAAUUUUUCUCUGCCAAGACCAAUAGAUGGACCAAGAAGUACUCAUCCUUGUAAACUUUCUUUGGAUAAAUUGCUUACAUAUAAUAAAUUCAGAGUUAAGUAAUAAAAAUAA
Molecule: long non-coding RNA, 1000 nt
Filed under: Homo sapiens (human)
Lineage: Eukaryota; Metazoa; Chordata; Mammalia; Primates; Hominidae
Description: HSALNT0328010
Source: RNAcentral